RNAcentral lists this ribosomal RNA (585 nucleotides) under Ascomycota sp. UNEX FECRGA 2012E334. Its description in RNAcentral is "eukaryotic LSU rRNA". The stretch from base 230 to 383 matches the Rfam family "5.8S ribosomal RNA". Lineage: Eukaryota; Fungi; Ascomycota. The record is from RNAcentral.
UAAAAGUCGUAACAAGGUUUCCGUAGGUGAACCUGCGGAAGGAUCAUUAAAGAGUAAGGGUGCUCAGCGCCCGACCUCCAACCCUUUGUUGUUAAAACUACCUUGUUGCUUUGGCGGGACCGCUCGGUCUCGAGCCGCUGGGGAUUCGUCCCAGGCGAGCGCCCGCCAGAGUUAAACCAAACUCUUGUUAUUUAACCGGUCGUCUGAGUUAAAAUUUUGAAUAAAUCAAAACUUUCAACAACGGAUCUCUUGGUUCUCGCAUCGAUGAAGAACGCAGCGAAAUGCGAUAAGUAAUGUGAAUUGCAGAAUUCAGUGAAUCAUCGAAUCUUUGAACGCACAUUGCGCCCCUUGGUAUUCCGAGGGGCAUGCCUGUUCGAGCGUCAUUACACCACUCAAGCUAUGCUUGGUAUUGGGCGUCGUCCUUAGUUGGGCGCGCCUUAAAGACCUCGGCGAGGCCACUCCGGCUUUAGGCGUAGUAGAAUUUAUUCGAACGUCUGUCAAAGGAGAGGAACUCUGCCGACUGAAACCUUUAUUUUUCUAGGUUGACCUCGGAUCAGGUAGGGAUACCCGCUGAACUUAAGCAUA